AUAUCUCUCUGUACGGGGAGGAUGAGAAGCUUCGACUAAGGUUCGAUUCGAGCGUCAGCGAGAAAGCGUUGCCGCAGGCAACGACCCGAAGGGCGAAGCGCGCAGCGCUGAGUCAUCCUUCCCCCACCACCA
RNAcentral lists this small RNA (132 nucleotides) under Salmonella enterica. Its description in RNAcentral is "RtT sRNA". It matches the Rfam family "RtT RNA". Rfam says of the family: This family represents a bacterial cis-regulatory element known as RtT RNA. The record is from RNAcentral. Lineage: Bacteria; Pseudomonadati; Pseudomonadota; Gammaproteobacteria; Enterobacterales; Enterobacteriaceae. RNAcentral also lists the same sequence under 1 other name.